UUUUUGUUUAUAAUUUAAAGUUUAAUCUGCCCACUGAUAAUAAUUAAAGGGCUGCAGUAUAUUGACUGUACAAAGGUAGCAUAAUCAUUAGUCUUUUAAUUGAAGACUUGUAUGAAAGAUUUGAUGAGAUAUAAACUGUCUCUUAUUUAAAAUUAGAAAUUAAUUUUUUAAUAAAAAAGUUAAAAUAAAUUUAAAAGACGAGAAGACCCUAUAGAGUUUUAUAAUUAUUUUAAUUGAUUAUUUUUAUAAAUUUUAAUUAAAAAUUAAUAUUAAUUAUUUAAUUGGGGUGAUUGAAAAAUUAAAUAAACUUUUUAUAUAAUUAAACAUAAAUUAAUGAAUAAAUGAUCCAUAAUUUAUGAUUAAAAGAAAAAAUUACCUUAGGGAUAACAGCGUAAUUUUUUUUUUUAGUUCAAAUAAAAAAAAGAGUUUGCGACCUCGAUGUUGGAUUAAGAUAAAAUUUAAAUGUAGAAGUUUAAAAUUUUUGAUCUGUUCGAUCAUUAAAAUCUU
Molecule: ribosomal RNA, 507 nt
Filed under: Taractrocera ceramas
Lineage: Eukaryota; Metazoa; Arthropoda; Insecta; Lepidoptera; Hesperiidae
Description: partial 16S ribosomal RNA
Source: RNAcentral